Molecule: unclassified non-coding RNA, 802 nt
Filed under: uncultured Prochlorococcus sp.
Lineage: Bacteria; Bacillati; Cyanobacteriota; Cyanophyceae; Synechococcales; Prochlorococcaceae
Description: partial may contain 16S ribosomal RNA, 16S-23S ribosomal RNA intergenic spacer, and 23S ribosomal RNA
Rfam family: tRNA (bases 351-423)
Source: RNAcentral
CGCCGAAGGUGGGGCUGAUGACUGGGGUGAAGUCGUAACAAGGUAGCCGUACCGGAAGGUGCGGCUGGAUCACCUCCUAACAGGGAGACAAAAACUGAUUGUGAUGUCUAAGUGUUUUAUUCUUAGGCCAUAAUCCUGUCACCUUAGGUCGAUCGGUACCUCAAGUUGAGUAUCUAAAAAAUCGGAUAUUUUUUAUUUUCGUUUUUUGAUUCUUUUUAACUUCAGUUCCUAAACUUUGUCUAGGUCACACCCAACAAGGGUACUCCUGGGCCAUUAGCUCAGGUGGUUAGAGCGCACCCCUGAUAAGGGUGAGGUCCCUGGUUCAAGUCCAGGAUGGCCCAUUCGGUGUUGGGGGUAUAGCUCAGUUGGUAGAGCGCCUGCUUUGCAAGCAGGAUGUCAGCGGUUCGAGUCCGCUUACCUCCACUGAUCGACCUCCUGACAGCGAGAUCGAAGGAGAUUGUCUUUGUAUGAUGUGAUUUAGACGUUGUUUAACUGAAUGACCCCAGCUUCUUAUCGUUCCAAUUCUAUUAAUUUAGAAAGGUUGAUAUGACGCUGGGCUCACUAAAGUUCUUUUGAACUUUAGAUGUGUUCAGUAGAACCUUGACAACUGCAUAGGUGAGUCUGGAAAGAAUAAAGCAUCUCAUGGAUGCAUUGUUCCUAUCAGCAGAUUAUUCUGUUUUUGAUAUGAAUAGUGUUUAAUUCUUGAGCAAUAGCCGAGACUCUAUAAUCUUUUUCUGUAGUUUAAAACUAUGGAAAAAUUGAUAUUAUGGAGAUUAAUUUGGUCAAGCUACAAAGGGCUCAC